Mauremys reevesii (Reeves's turtle) is the source of this 485-nucleotide long non-coding RNA. RefSeq lists it as uncharacterized. NCBI's taxonomy places the organism in Eukaryota, Metazoa, Chordata, Testudines, Geoemydidae. The transcript is spliced from 3 exons. The record is from RefSeq and is a predicted model, not a curated record.
AGUGUGGCUGAAGGGCUGGUUACUGAAGACACUCUCAAACCAUCGUUAAAAGAGCCCUAAGUAUUUUUGUUCCUGAAUGCUAUGUGACACUUGUCAUGGUGGCAGUUGUAGUGCAUGUUGAACAUGGAGACAGGACCUGCUUGCAAUGACAACAGCAACAGCCUGGGAUUUGGACAACCUUGCUGUGAGAGGGAGUCACCUCACAGCUAAGGGUGAACAAAGAAGAAUGCCCAGGAUUUACCAGGACACUGGUGGACCUUCAUCAUUCAGAUCCUAAAAUGCACCCUGAGCGGACCAGGCUGCAGAGAGAGACGCAGACGGCAUCUCCAUCUCUGCUGACUUCAGCUAAAUCCUGAACACACCUAAGAUGUGGACUUGGGUUCUUUCUCUCGUCCAGUCCCUCAUGUCAUUUUCCUUUCCCACUUACUUCUCAUCUUUCCUGUCUUUCUGUUGCCUUCUGUCCAAUAAAAGACUCUUAUGGCUUA